This 468-nucleotide ribosomal RNA is filed under the name uncultured bacterium. Its description in RNAcentral is "partial 16S ribosomal RNA". It matches the Rfam family "Bacterial small subunit ribosomal RNA", at positions 28 to 507 of the family's 1533-position model. The record is from RNAcentral.
GACGAACGCUGGCGGCGUGCUUAACACAUGCAAGUCGAACGGAAAGGCCCUGCUUUUGUGGGGUGCUCGAGUGGCGAACGGGUGAGUAACACGUGAGUAACCUGCCCAUGACUUUGGGAUAACUUCAGGAAACUGGGGCUAAUACCGGAUAGGAGCUCCUGCUGCAUGGUGGGGGUUGGAAAGUUUCGGCGGUUGGGGAUGGACUCGCGGCUUAUCAGCUUGUUGGUGGGGUAGUGGCUUACCAAGGCUUUGACGGGUAGCCGGCCUGAGAGGGUGACCGGCCACAUUGGGACUGAGAUACGGCCCAGACUCCUACGGGAGGCAGCGGUGGGGAAUAUUGCACAAUGGGCGGAAGCCUGAUGCAGCAACGCCGCGUGCGGGAUGACGGCCUUCGGGUUGUAAACCGCUUUCGCCUGUGACGAAGCGUGAGUGACGGUAACGGGUAAAGAAGCACCGGCUAACUACGUG